UUGAACGCUGGCGGCAUGCUUUACACAUGCAAGUCGAACGGCAGCACAGGGAGCUUGCUCCCGGGUGGCGAGUGGCGCACGGGUGAGUAAUACAUCGGAACGUGUCCUGUUGUGGGGGAUAACUGCUCGAAAGGGUGGCUAAUACCGCAUGAGACCUGAGGGUGAAAGCGGGGGAUCGCAAGACCUCGCGCAAUUGGAGCGGCCGAUGCCCGAUUAGCUAGUUGGUGAGGUAAAGGCUCACCAAGGCGACGAUCGGUAGCUGGUCUGAGAGGACGACCAGCCACACUGGGACUGAGACACGGCUCAGACUCCUACGGGAGGCAGCAGUGGGGAAUUUUGGACAAUGGGGGCAACCCUGAUCCAGCCAUGCCGCGUGCAGGAUGAAGGCCUUCGGGUUGUAAACUGCUUUUGUCAGGGACGAAAAGGACCGUGUUAAUACCAUGGUCUGCUGACGGUACCUGAAGAAUAAGCACCAGCUAACUACGUG
Molecule: ribosomal RNA, 487 nt
Filed under: uncultured bacterium
Lineage: Bacteria
Description: bacterial SSU rRNA
Rfam family: Bacterial small subunit ribosomal RNA
Source: RNAcentral